AAGGAGAGGGAGGUGGGAAGGAAGAGGCUGAAGAGAGAAAAACGGGUUGUCAGCCCGAGUCCUCACGUGAGAAACUCAGACAAAGGCCACGCGACACUUAUUCCCCUCUGACAGACAACCCUUCAGCAAGAACGAGUAAAAAUAAGGCUGAGAUCUGUGGAGGACUCACGCCCCUUGGUGGGGGGUACAUAUAAAUGGAGUCUCAGAGUCUCCACCGGUCUCAGCUUUCUCAGAACUGGACGCGGAGGUCCCACCCACUACCAGCAGAACUAUAGAAACGCUGGUGUCGGUUUCUCCUGAGACGUUGGCAAACAGAGACAGGGUUUGAAGCCCUGAGGACCUGAGUGUGGCCCAGAAGUCAAUGGGUGAUGCUGGGGAGGCCAGUCACCCUCAGUCAGCACAGCGACAAGGGCCUGUGAACAGACAGUGUGCAGGGGCAGUGUGUUCCAGCUGCAGCUGCUAUUAAGAAAACGUGAUUUACUGUUUUAUGCGGAAAUACAGAGUUGCUCUUAGGCUUCAUUGAAAAGUAUGCACGAGCAAUGUCAAGGUGGGUACGCCGUGCCCCCUCUGCCAGGCAGUGUUGAGCUGACUCCAGAAGGACCCUUAGGGAUUCCAUAUGCAUUUUCUGCAAGGAACUUAAAUCUGUUUUGUAAGGACAGCUGUAGAUGAAGAACAGAAAGGACUCUCUUCUAUGGCAGCUACCCUAGCAAGCCUGAAGAAUGGAACCAGCUUCCCCCAUCAGCCGUGAUUCCGUCAUAACUCUUCUUUUAAGCCUGGUGUUGGUCUGAGCCAGCCUGGGCUGGGGGUGGUGGGCUGCAGGGUAUUGCUCUCUCCCCAGGGGUCAGUGCAGGGAUGGUUUCAGCCUAAUGUCAUCCACCAUCUCAUCCCUCACCUUCUGAAACUCAGGAGAGACAGCGGAGGGUAGCCUUGUUUGCCUUUCUGUGUAAUUGGCAGAAUCUCGGGGAAGCACCAGAGCAGCUAGCCCCACUUCCUGGAUGUGUUUUGGAGAGGUACCUCACACCAUUGUGGCCCUGGGGGCCACCGUUCCCUUUUGUUCCUUUAUCUCUGGCACCAAUAUGCUCCGAAUGUCUUGGGUCACAACUGUGUCCACACUCCAUAAUAUGUUGGGAAGAUAUCUAAAAUACACAAGAAGAGAUAGAAGAAAGGAAACUAAAACCAGUCUCUUGACAUUGAGAUGAGAUUAAAAUUUGCAAAUAAGCAUCCUGUACCUUUCUGGAUUACAUUUUGUGUGUACAGAUUUCGAACCAUUUUAAAAGUGUUGUUAUCUCCUGAUCACACAAAUAAAUCACACGCGCAACUCUGACGCUGUGCUUUAGGCUCUGGAGAAAGAGGGAGAUGGUGACAAAUGAAUGUUAUCUAUCUUUCAUGUUCCUACCCUUCUAAUCUUGAUGCUCAAUUAAAGAUGAGAGAUGAAA
Molecule: long non-coding RNA, 1436 nt
Organism: Ictidomys tridecemlineatus (thirteen-lined ground squirrel)
Lineage: Eukaryota; Metazoa; Chordata; Mammalia; Rodentia; Sciuridae
Source: RefSeq, a predicted model, not a curated record